GUGCCAGCCGCGGCGGUAAUACGUAGGGCGCAAGCGUUAUCCGGAAUUAUUGGGCGUAAAGAGCUCGUAGGCGGUCUGUCGCGUCUGCUGUGAAAUCCCGAGGCUCAACCUCGGGCCUGCAGUGGGUACGGGCAGACUAGAGUGCGGUAGGGAGAUUGGAAUUCCUGGUGUAGCGGUGGAAUGCGCAGAUAUCAGGAGGAACACCGAUGGCGAAGGCAGAUCUCUGGGCCGUAACUGACGCUGAGGAGCGAAAGGGUGGGGAGCAAACAGGCUUAGAUACCCUGGUAGUCCACCCCGUAAACGUUGGGAACUAGUUGUGGGUCCUUUCCACGGAUUCCGUGACGCAGCUAACGCAUUAAGUUCCCCGCCUGGGGAGUACGGCCGCAAGGCUAAAACUCAAAGGAUUGACGGGGACCCGCACAAGCGGCGGAGCAUGCGGAUUAAUCGAUGCAACGCGAAGAACCUUACCAAGGCUUGACAUACACGAGAACGCUAGCAGAAAUGUAGAACUCUUAGGACACUCGUGAAC
This 529-nucleotide ribosomal RNA is filed under the name uncultured bacterium. Its description in RNAcentral is "bacterial SSU rRNA". It matches the Rfam family "Bacterial small subunit ribosomal RNA", at positions 505 to 1035 of the family's 1533-position model. The record is from RNAcentral.